CUCAAAUCGCGACAAGAAUAGCACAGACUGCUCGUUAUGAAGCCUCAACACAAAUUGAUGUCACAUGAUAGAAAUAAUGACUUGUAACUGGGUACCAAGAUUAUGUGUAACACAAGGUAAAAACCCGGACACAACGGUUGGAAACUUGAAACUGAAAUUCAGAGCGCGCCACAAAUUGUUCAUAAUCUUCAAAAUCCGUUAAGUUAAAUGGCUAAAGUUCGGCGUAAGAGAGAAACGAGCCGUCUUAAGGGAUUGGAAGCAAAAGGUUGGAAACAUUGGGUAAAAGCCAUAGUCCCUCGAAAAGCCAGGCGCACUGAACCACGUGGAGACAGCCAAGUUGGUUUUAUGUGCACAAACAUAAGAUCUGCUAUUCCUGCCAGACAAUGUGGAAUUUAUGAGUGGCGAGCUAAAGGAAAGUCAGCCCGUCAACCCAAUUAUAUUGUUUAUGUUGGGAGCACAUGCCGGGGUAAACCAGGAGCACUAAGGCGAAGAAUUAUAGAAUAUUGCACGGAUGGAUCGCAUAAAAAAGAUCUCAUGAAUGAAGCUUUACGUAAAGGUUACGAGUUAUGGGUUCGUGUUAAGACAUCGCGAGGAACGGAUAAUGCUCAAGAGUUGGAGAACGAACUGUUAAAGAAGUACGACUACGCCUGGAACGUCAGAAACAACGGAAAAAUCCGACAUAUACUGCCAUCAGCGAAGAAAAGUUCGAGUUAAGUACAGUUUAUGAUGACGAUACCUUUCUGCUCAGCGUGAUGCGUGAUGUUAUAUGUUAGCGAUACAUUUCUGUCGGGCAAAGCUCAGGCUGGUUCCACAUCAGAUAAUUCAGCUUGUGUAUUGGUAUGUGAGUACAACGAGAAAGAUGUUUACCAUAUUUCACGAUACUUUACUUUAUUAGUAUGCUCUCUGUAUCGAUUCCAAAACCAUUGUCUCAGAAUCGUGAAAUGUAAACGAUGCUAUUUUAAUAAAGGUUUACGUAGUGCUUUA
Molecule: long non-coding RNA, 984 nt
Organism: Stylophora pistillata
Lineage: Eukaryota; Metazoa; Cnidaria; Anthozoa; Scleractinia; Pocilloporidae
Source: RefSeq, a predicted model, not a curated record